ACGGAGGAUCCAAGCGUUAUCCGGAUUUAUUGGGUUUAAAGGGCGCGCAGGCGGAUCAAUAAGUCAGGGGUGAAAAAUUUCAGCUCAACCGGAAUAGUGCAUUUGAUACUGUUAAACUUGAGUCUAAUUGACGGGGGUAGAAUGCCAGGUGUAGCGGUGAAAUGCGUAGAGAUGUCGAGGAACACCGGUGGCGAAGGCGGCCCACUGGAUUAUUACUGACGCUCAUGUGCGAAAGCGUGGGGAUCAAACAG
RNAcentral lists this ribosomal RNA (251 nucleotides) under uncultured prokaryote. Its description in RNAcentral is "partial 16S rRNA". It matches the Rfam family "Bacterial small subunit ribosomal RNA", at positions 525 to 775 of the family's 1533-position model. The record is from RNAcentral.